GACGAACGCUGGCGGCGUGCCUAAUACAUGCAAGUCGAACGCAGUGGGGACGGGUGCGUAACACGUGGGUAACCUCCCAUCAGAGGGGAUAACACUUGGAAACAGGUGCUAACCCGCAAUUGAUGGAUGGACCCGCGGUGCAUUAGCUACUUGGUGGGGUAACGGCUCACCAAGGCCACGAUGCAUAGCCGACCUGAGAGGGUGAUCGGCCACACUGGGACUGAGACACGGCCCAGACUCCUACGGGAGGCAGCAGUAGGGAAUCUUCGGCAAUGGACGAAAGCCUGACGGAGCAACGCCGCGUGAGUGAAGAAGGUUUUCGGAUCGUAAAGCUCUGUUGUUAGAGAAGCGGUAUCUAACCAGAAAGCAACGGCUAACUACGUGCCAGCAGCCGCGGUAAUAC
RNAcentral lists this ribosomal RNA (403 nucleotides) under uncultured bacterium. RNAcentral's name for it is "partial 16S ribosomal RNA". It matches the Rfam family "Bacterial small subunit ribosomal RNA", at positions 28 to 526 of the family's 1533-position model. The record is from RNAcentral.